Prosopis cineraria is the source of this 1076-nucleotide long non-coding RNA. RefSeq lists it as uncharacterized. The transcript is spliced from 2 exons. NCBI's taxonomy places the organism in Eukaryota, Viridiplantae, Streptophyta, Magnoliopsida, Fabales, Fabaceae. The record is from RefSeq and is a predicted model, not a curated record.
UUGUAAAAGGCCGGAACCAAGUCUAGGUUUAGAUAGAUAUUUGCGUCGCACAUCUGUACUAGACACGUCGCCGCCAGAAGGUAUACUCCUUUUAGCUUCUUCAGAUUCUUCUGAAUCCGAAAGUCUCGAUCUCCGUUUGCCGAAGAAAUUCUGCAGCAUCGGAGUCGCUUUGCAGAUCUUGUCUUCCAAGUGUACAGGGUUUGCCGUUCCCAGAUUUCCUUUGCCCCUUCCGUUUUCUCCGUUUCGAUGGCUUCCCUCUCUUACUCUUCCAAUCUCCAGAAUCAUUAUCUUCUCUUCCGCCCUCCGUAUCCAAUCAACAUCGCGGACUCUUGAGAUUCCUUCGAUCACGUCUCGAUCAAACUUCGCUGACGAUUUGGGCAGAAUCCAUUGAUUAAGGUGCCAUAAGUAACUGAAUUUAAAAGAAUUUCUGUUCUUGUAUAAAUUUAGUUAGUUAUGGCACUUAAUCUGUGGGUAACCAAGCCUGUUGUUUGGCCAAAUUUCUAGCUGGAAGUAGUGUUUUGCACCGAAAGGCAUCAACGAGAAUGUUUCCGCCUGCAAAAUAAUGAAAUGUCCACUGUAUUUUUUUUUUUUGGGAAAAUCACUCUGAAGUCUCGCAGAAGUGAAUAAGUUUGAAUAUUGAAUUACCAAAAUACUCAUUAUAACCCAUGAAACCCAAACACACGAAACACACCACGGUCUCAUCGCCUCCAUCUUAUGUGUCCUGGUUGUAAAUCGGCAAAUCGACAGUGGAUUUGGACAGUGAUGGCGACGGCAAGUUCGAACGGCUCAUGGGGAUCGAACGUCGGAUCUGCUACAGCUUAGGGAGAGAGGGUCGUGCGACGAGGAGGCAACAAAGCAAUGAUAGAAUAAUGGAGCAGAGAGGGAAGCAAAAGAGAAAGAAUAGUGUAGUCCAGUCUUUCGUUUUAGACCAAUGCCAAUCAAGAGAGGAAGCAAAAGAGACCAAUGCCAACUUGUGUAGUUUUUUUGGAGAUGGGUUGGGAAAUACAUGAAAACUAUGAAGAUGGAGUAUAUUUUGUACAUGACAAUGUCUAUUUUUAUAUAAAUCUAGUUUUCAA